CUUUCUAGUACGGGGCCAGCAGUCGCGGUAAUACGUAGGGUGCAAGCGUUAUCCGGAUUCACUGGGCGUAAAGUGUCGUGUAGGUGGACUCCCGCAUCGUGCUUGAAAGCCCGAGGCUUAACCUCGGCGUUGGGCACGAGAUGGGGAGACUAGAGGGAGGUAGAGGAACGGGGAACUCAUGGUGAAGCAGUGAAAUGCGUUGAUAUCAUGAGGAACACCAAAGGCGAAGGCACCGUUCUGGACCUUUCCUGACACUGAGACACGAAAGCUAGGGGAGCGAAGCAGAUUAGAGACCUGCGUAGUCCUAGCCCUAAACGCAUGUCUGCUAGAUGUUCCGGCUUUGCCGGAGUGUCGUAAGCUAACGCGUUAAGCAGACCGCCUGGGGAGUACGAUCGCAAGAUUAAAACUCAAAGGAAUUGACGGGGACCCGCACAACCGGUGGAGCGUGUGGUUCAAUUCGAGACAAAGCGAAAGACCUCACCAAGGUUUGACAUUCCGCCGUUUUAUUUUGAUGGAAACAUUGAAAGAUCCGCAAGGAAGGCGGAACAGCUGCUGCAUGGCAGCCGUCAGCUCGUGCCGUGAGGUGUUCCCUUAAGUGGGAGAACGAGCGCAACCCCCAUCCAAUGUUACAAGUGUCAUUGGAGACCGCCCACUCUCAAAGUCGAAGACUUUGAGAGAAUACUACCAAUAUUCAAAUACUACCAAUAAUCCAAUAAGCAAAUAAAAAACUUUUCAUUUGUUUAUUGCUAGUAUUGGAUGAUUUGAUAAUUGGAUUAUUCUCUCAAAAGCGUCGUCGCUUUUGAGAGUGGGAGGAAGGAGGGGAUGACGACAUGUCAGCACGGCGCUUAUACCUUGGGCCACACACACCCUACAAUGGCGAAUAACAAUGGGACGCAAGGCGGCAACGCCAAGCAAAUCCCUCUAAAUUUCGCCUCAGUUCAGAUUGGGGUCUGCAACCCGACCCCAUGAAGUCGGAAUCGGUAGUAAUCGCAGAUCAGCAGGCUGCGGUGAAUACGUUCUCGGGUCUUGUACACACCGCCCGUCAAGCCAACAAAGUUGGAGGCGGCCGAACCCCCGAAAUUUGGGAUGCGAAAGCAUCUGCCCUAACCCUGAAAAUUUCUGAAACGCGAAGCGUUUUGCAUAGCAAACAGAAAUUUUUAGGGUAGGACCCCAAAUUUCGGGGGGAAGCCGAAUUCAGCGAUGGGGACUAAGUCGUAACAAGGUAUCCCUAGCCGAAGCUGGGGAUGGAUCACCUCCUUU
This is a non-coding RNA of Candidatus Gottesmanbacteria bacterium, 1260 nucleotides long. The record is from Rfam. Lineage: Bacteria; Candidatus Gottesmaniibacteriota.